Molecule: ribosomal RNA, 734 nt
Filed under: uncultured bacterium
Lineage: Bacteria
Description: bacterial SSU rRNA
Rfam family: Bacterial small subunit ribosomal RNA
Source: RNAcentral
UCGAGCGAGACUUGACAGCUUAUCGUCAAGUCUAGCGGCAGACGGGUGAGUAAUACUUGGGCAAUCUGCCCUUGAGUGAGGGACAACCUGCCGAAAGGCGGGCUAAUACCCCAUAAGACCACGGGAGUGCAUAUUUCAGGGGUCAAAGCUCCGCAAGGGGCGCUUGAGGAGGAGCCCGAGUCCUAUCAUGGUAGUUGGCGGGGUAACGGCCCACCAAGCCGUUGACGGGUAGCCGGCCUGAAAGGGCAAACGGCCACACUGGCACUGAGACACGGGCCAGACUCCUACGGGAGGCAGCAGUGGGGAAUUUUGGACAAUGGGGGCAACCCUGAUCCAACGACGCCGCGUGAAGGAUGAAGGUCUUCGGAUUGUAAACUUCUUUUGGAGGGGAUGAAUGGCCUAGUGAAUAACUAGGCAUGACAGUACCCUUCGAAUAAGCCACGGCUAACUACGUGCCAGCAGCCGCGGUAAUACGUAGGUGGCAAGCGUUACUCGGAAUCACUAGGCGUAAAGCGCAGGUAGGAGGUUUGAUAAGUCUGUUGUGAAAGCUCCCGGCUUAACUGGGAGAGGUCAACGGAAACUGUCAGGCUAGAGUGCGGUAGAGGUAGCUGGAAUUCCCGGUGUAGCGGUGAAAUGCGUAGAUAUCGGGAGGAAUACCUAUGGCGAAAGCAGGCUACUGGACCGUCACUGACUCUGAUCUGCGAAAGCUAGGGGAGCAAACAGGAUUAGAUACC